Molecule: ribosomal RNA, 466 nt
Filed under: uncultured bacterium
Lineage: Bacteria
Description: partial 16S ribosomal RNA
Rfam family: Bacterial small subunit ribosomal RNA
Source: RNAcentral
GAUGAACGCUGGCGGCGUGCUUAACACAUACAAGUCGAACGAUGAAGCCCAGCUUGCUGGGUGGAUUAGUGGCGAACGGGUGAGUAACACGUGAGUAACCUGCCCUUGACUCUGGGAUAAGCGCUGGAAACGGCGUCUAAUACCGGAUACGAGCUUCCACCGCAUGGUGAGUUGCUGGAAAGAAUUUCGGUCAAGGAUGGACUCGCGGCCUAUCAGGUAGUUGGUGAGGUAACGGCUCACCAAGCCGACGACGGGUAGCCGGCCUGAGAGGGUGACCGGCCACACUGGGACUGAGACACGGCCCAGACUCCUACGGGAGGCAGCAGUGGGGAAUAUUGCACAAUGGGCGCAAGCCUGAUGCAGCAACGCCGCGUGAGGGACGAAGGCCUUCGGGUCGUAAACCUCUUUUAGCAGGGAAGAAGCGAAAGUGACGGUACCUGCAGAAAAAGCACCGGCUAACUACGUG